GAUGAAGAACGCAGCAAAAUGCGAUAAGUAAUGUGAAUUGCAGAAUUCAGUGAAUCAUCGAGUCUUUGAACGCACAUUGCGCCCCCUGGUAUUCCGGGGGGCAUGCCUGUCCGAGCGUCAUUGCUGCCCUCAAGCACGGCUUGUGUGUUGGGCCUCCGUCCUCCUCCCGGGGGACGGGCCCGAAAGGCAGCGGCGGCACCGCGUCCGGUCCUCGAGCGUAUGGGGCUUCGUCACCCGCUCUUGUAGGCCCGGCCGGCGCUUGCCGACACAUCAAUCUUUUUUCCAGGUUGACCUCGGAUCAGGUAUGGAUACCCGCUGAACUUAAGCAUAUCAAUAAGCGGAGGA
Molecule: unclassified non-coding RNA, 345 nt
Filed under: soil metagenome
Description: partial contains 5.8S ribosomal RNA, internal transcribed spacer 2, and large subunit ribosomal RNA
Rfam family: 5.8S ribosomal RNA (bases 1-120)
Source: RNAcentral